This 440-nucleotide ribosomal RNA is filed under the name uncultured bacterium. Its description in RNAcentral is "partial 16S ribosomal RNA". It matches the Rfam family "Bacterial small subunit ribosomal RNA", at positions 338 to 795 of the family's 1533-position model. The record is from RNAcentral.
CCUACGGGAGGCAGCAGUGGGGAAUAUUGCACAAUGGGGGAAACCCUGAUGCAGCGACGCCGCGUGAGUGAAGAAGUAUUUCGGUACGUAAAGCUCUAUCAGCAGUGAAGAAAAUGACGGUACCUGACUAAGAAGCCCCGGCUAACUACGUUCCAGCAGCCGCGGUAAUACGUAGGGGGCAAGCGUUAUCCGGAUUUACUGGGUGUAAAGGGAGCGUAGACGGCAGCGCAAGUCUGGAGUGAAAUCCCAUGGCUUAACCAUGGAACUGCUUUGGAAACUGUGCAGCUAGAGUGCAGGAGAGGUAAGCGGAAUUCCUAGUGGAGCGGUGAAAUGCGUAGAUAUUAGGAGGAACACCAGUGGCGAAGGCGGCUUACUGGACUGUAACUGACGUUGAGGCGCGAAAGCGUGGGGAGCAAACAGGAUUAGAUACCCGAGUAGUC